RNAcentral lists this ribosomal RNA (253 nucleotides) under uncultured bacterium. RNAcentral's name for it is "partial 16S ribosomal RNA". It matches the Rfam family "Bacterial small subunit ribosomal RNA", at positions 524 to 776 of the family's 1533-position model. The record is from RNAcentral.
UACGGGGGGAGCAAGCGUUGUUCGGAUUUACUGGGCGUAAAGGGCGCGUAGGCGGCGCAACAAGUCACUUGUGAAAUCUCCGGGCUUAACUCGGAAAGGUCAAGUGAUACUGUUGUGCUAGAGUGCGGAAGGGGCAACUGGAAUUCUCGGUGUAGCGGUGAAAUGCGUAGAUAUCGAGAGGAACACCUGCGGCGAAGGCGGGUUGCUGGGCCGACACUGACGCUGAUGCGCGAAAGCCAGGGGAGCAAACGGG